RNAcentral lists this unclassified non-coding RNA (168 nucleotides) under soil metagenome. Its description in RNAcentral is "partial internal transcribed spacer 1". The record is from RNAcentral.
CGAGAGUUUCACCACUCCCAACCCACUGUUGACCUACCCCACCUGUGCUUCGGCAGGCAGUCCUUGGACAGGCCUCGCCCCGCGUAACGGGGGUGCCUGCCAGCUGGCCACCUAAAAUUCUAGCUGUUUCUAUAUGUACCAUUCUGAGUCUAACCACUAAAUAAAUCA